Salmo salar (Atlantic salmon) is the source of this 54-nucleotide non-coding RNA. NCBI's taxonomy places the organism in Eukaryota, Metazoa, Chordata, Actinopteri, Salmoniformes, Salmonidae. The record is from Rfam.
UGCAUUCACUACUGUAAGUUGCUCUAGAUAAGAGCGUCUGCUAAAUGACGUAAA